AUUGAACGCUGGCGGAAUGCUUUACACAUGCAAGUCGAACGGCAGCACGGGGCAACCUGGUGGCGAGUGGCGAACGGGUGAGUAAUAUAUCGGAACGUGCCCAAUCGUGGGGGAUAACGUAGCGAAAGUUACGCUAAUACCGCAUACGAUCUACGGAUGAAAGCAGGGGACCUUCGGGCCUUGUGCUAUACGAGCGGCCGAUGUCUGAUUAGCUGGGUUGGUGAGGUAAAGGCUCACCAAGGCGACGAUCAGUAGCGGGUCUGAGAGGAUGAUCCGCCACACUGGGACUGAGACACGGCCCAGACUCCUACGGGAGGCAGCAGUGGGGAAUUUUGGACAAUGGGCGGAAGCCUGAUCCAGCCAUGCCGCGUGAGUGAAGAAGG
RNAcentral lists this ribosomal RNA (383 nucleotides) under uncultured bacterium. Its description in RNAcentral is "bacterial SSU rRNA". It matches the Rfam family "Bacterial small subunit ribosomal RNA", at positions 30 to 414 of the family's 1533-position model. The record is from RNAcentral.